This 366-nucleotide ribosomal RNA is filed under the name Triticum aestivum (bread wheat). Its description in RNAcentral is "partial small subunit ribosomal RNA". Lineage: Eukaryota; Viridiplantae; Streptophyta; Magnoliopsida; Poales; Poaceae. The record is from RNAcentral.
AUGACGGGUAUAUACGGAGAACCAAGCUGGGAACACAAGGAUCGUACAUACCAAUAUAUACGAGACUUGCACGCCCAGUCGAGAUUACCUUGGGUAAUUAUUGGUGAUUUUAAUGAGAUCUUAUUGUCAUCGGAAAAGGAGGGAGGGGCGCCAAGACAGCAAGCCCGCUUGCAAGCUUUCCAGGAUGCAUUAUCAGAUUGUGAUCUCGAAGACCUGGGAUACGUGGGGGAUAAACUCACGUGGUUCCGGGGUGGUCUGAAAGAGCGACUUGACCGAGCUGUGAUGAAUGGCGGGUGGAUAGGUAUGCACCCAUAUGCAGGCCUGUGUAAUUUGGAUAUGGGCAAAUCAGAUCACAGGCCCAUAAUG